UACGUAGGGGGCAAGCGUUGUCCGGAUUUAUUGGGCGUAAAGGGCGCGUAGGCGGCUGUACAAGUCCGGGGUGAAAGCCCCCAGCUCAACUGGGGAAGUGCCUUGGAUACUGUGCAGCUCGAGCGAGGCAGGGGUAGUGGGAACUUCCGGUGGAGCGGUGAAAUGCGUUGAUAUCGGAAGGAACGCCGGUGGCGAAAGCGCACUACUGGUCCUCUUCUGACGCUGAGGCGCGAAAGCCAGGGGAGCAAACGGG
This 253-nucleotide ribosomal RNA is filed under the name uncultured bacterium. RNAcentral's name for it is "partial 16S ribosomal RNA". It matches the Rfam family "Bacterial small subunit ribosomal RNA", at positions 524 to 776 of the family's 1533-position model. The record is from RNAcentral.